This 446-nucleotide ribosomal RNA is filed under the name uncultured bacterium. Its description in RNAcentral is "partial 16S ribosomal RNA". It matches the Rfam family "Bacterial small subunit ribosomal RNA", at positions 354 to 796 of the family's 1533-position model. The record is from RNAcentral.
GUGAGGAAUAUUGCGCAAUGGACGAAAGUCUGACGCAGCCAUGCCGCGUGAAGGAUUGACGGCCCUAUGGGUUGUAAACUUCUUUUGUAUAGGAAUAAACCCUCGUUCGUGAACGAGGCUGAAGGUACUAUAAGAAUAAGCACCGGCUAACUCCGUGCCAGCAGCCGCGGUAAUACGGAGGGUGCAAGCGUUAUCCGGAUCUAUUGGGUUUAAAGGGUCCGUAGGCGGAUCGUUAAGUCAGUGGUGAAAUCCUACCGCUCAAAGGUAGAACUGCCAUUGAUACUGGCGAUCUUGAGUAUGUAUGAAGUUGGCGGAAUGUGUGGUGUAGCGGUGAAAUGCUUAGAUAUCACACAGAACACCGAUUGCGAAGGCAGCUGACUAAUACACAACUGACGCUGAGGGACGAAAGUGUGGGGAUCAAACAGGAUUAGAAACCCUAGUAGUCC